GAUGAACGCUGGCGGCGUGCUUAACACAUGCAAGUCGAACGGAAAGGCCCAAGCUUGCUUGGGUACUCGAGUGGCGAACGGGUGAGUAACACGUGGGUGAUCUGCCCUGCACUUCGGGAUAAGCCUGGGAAACUGGGUCUAAUACCGGAUAGGACCACAUUUUGGAUGGUGUGGUGGAAAGUUUUUCGGUGUGGGAUGAGCUCGCGGCCUAUCAGCUUGUUGGUGGGGUAAUGGCCUACCAAGGCGUCGACGGGUAGCCGGCCUGGGAGGGUGUACGGCCACAUUGGGACUGGGAUACGGCCCAGACUCCUACGGGAGGCAGCAGUGGGGAAUAUUGCACAAUGGGCGCAAGCCUGAUGCAGCGACGCCGCGUGGGGGAUGACGGCCUUCGGGUUGUAAACUCCUUUCGCUAGGGACGAAGCGUUAUGUGACGGUACCUGGAGAAGAAGCACCGGCUAACUACGUG
This 466-nucleotide ribosomal RNA is filed under the name uncultured bacterium. RNAcentral describes it as "partial 16S ribosomal RNA". It matches the Rfam family "Bacterial small subunit ribosomal RNA", at positions 28 to 507 of the family's 1533-position model. The record is from RNAcentral.